RNAcentral lists this ribosomal RNA (229 nucleotides) under uncultured Eubacteriales bacterium. RNAcentral's name for it is "uncultured Clostridiales bacterium partial 16S ribosomal RNA". It matches the Rfam family "Bacterial small subunit ribosomal RNA", at positions 104 to 334 of the family's 1533-position model. Lineage: Bacteria; Bacillati; Bacillota; Clostridia; Eubacteriales. The record is from RNAcentral.
GGGUGAGUAACGCGUGAGUAACCUGCCUUACACAAGGGGAUAGCCGUUGGAAACGACGAAUAAUACCCUAUGAAACUAUCACUUCACAUGAAGCGAUAGUCAAAGUGUUAGCGGUGUAAGAUGGACUUGCGUCUGAUUAGCUAGUUGGUGAGAAAAAGCCCACCAAGGCAACGAUCAGCAGCCGGCUUGAGAGAGUGUACGGCCACAUUGGGACUGAGACACGGCCCAG